RNAcentral lists this ribosomal RNA (229 nucleotides) under uncultured bacterium. RNAcentral's name for it is "partial 16S ribosomal RNA". It matches the Rfam family "Bacterial small subunit ribosomal RNA", at positions 568 to 796 of the family's 1533-position model. The record is from RNAcentral.
UGCGUAGGUGGUUUUGUAUGUCGAAUGUGAAAGCCCACCGCUUAACGGUGGAAGGUCAUUCGAAACUGCAGGACUAGAGUACAGGAGAGGAGAGCGGAAUUCUUGGAGUAGCGGUGAAAUGCGUUGAUAUCAAGAAGAACACCGGUGGCGAAGGCGGCUCUCUGGAAUGAUACUGACACUGAGGCACGAAAGCUGGGGGAGCAAACAGGAUUAGAUACCCUGGUAGUCC